Molecule: ribosomal RNA, 469 nt
Filed under: Clostridioides difficile
Lineage: Bacteria; Bacillati; Bacillota; Clostridia; Peptostreptococcales; Peptostreptococcaceae
Description: bacterial LSU rRNA
Rfam family: Bacterial large subunit ribosomal RNA
Source: RNAcentral
CCCAAACCACUAAUGUUUGCUGUAGUGGGUUUGCGGACAUUUCAUAACGGAGGGGUAUCGAAAUGGAGUGGGUUUGGGAAGACCCAACACAGAAGGUAAUAGUCCUGUAUGUUAAACGAGAAGACUUCAGAUAUGCUCCAGAGUACCACGGGACACGUGAAACCCUGUGGGAAGCAGGAGGGACCACCCUCAAAGGCUAAAUACUACCUAGUGACCGAUCGCGUAUAGUACCGUGAGGGAAAGGUGAAAAGAACCCCGGGAGGGGAGUGAAAUAGAACCUGAAAACCUGCACUUACAAGCUGUGGAAGCACAUUUCUUGUGUGACAGCGUACUUUUUGUAGAACGGGCCAACGAGUUACGUUAAGUAGCAAGGUUAAGCACUUAAGGUGCGGAGCCAUAGCGAAAGCGAGUUUUAACUGAGCGUUCAGUUACUUGACGUAGACCCGAAACCGGGCGACCUACCCAUGAG